GACGCCAGAGAGGGUGAGAGCCCCGUACGGUUGGACACCGAGCCUCUAUAUAGCUCCUUCGACGAGUCGAGUAGUUUGGGAAUGCUGCUCUAAAUGGGAGGUAAAUUUCUUCUAAAGCUAAAUACCGGCCAGAGACCGAUAGCGCACAAGUAGAGUGAUCGAAAGAUGAAAAGUACUUUGAAAAGAGGGUUAAAUAGCACGUGAAAUUGUUGAAAGGGAAGCGUUUGCGACCAGACUUUUUCCAGGCGGAUCAUCCGGUGUUCUCACCGGUGCACUUCGCCUGGUUUAGGCCAGCAUCGGUUCUCUUAGGGGGAUAAAGGCCUGGGGAACGUAGCUCCUUCGGGAGUGUUAUAGCCCCUAGCGUAAUACCCUUCGGGGGACCGAGGAACGCG
This 392-nucleotide ribosomal RNA is filed under the name Daldinia loculata. RNAcentral's name for it is "eukaryotic LSU rRNA". It matches the Rfam family "Eukaryotic large subunit ribosomal RNA", at positions 199 to 597 of the family's 3401-position model. The record is from RNAcentral. Lineage: Eukaryota; Fungi; Ascomycota; Sordariomycetes; Xylariales; Hypoxylaceae.